RNAcentral lists this ribosomal RNA (880 nucleotides) under uncultured bacterium. RNAcentral's name for it is "bacterial SSU rRNA". It matches the Rfam family "Bacterial small subunit ribosomal RNA", at positions 121 to 1014 of the family's 1533-position model. The record is from RNAcentral.
AGAAUCUGCCUUCAACUCUGGGAUAACUCCGGGAAACCGGGGCUAAUACCGGAUAUGAGCCUUGAACGCAUGAUCGGGGCUGGAAAGUUUUUCGGUUGAAGAUGACUUCGCGGCCUAUCAGCUUGUUGGUGAGGUAAUGGCUCACCAAGGCGACGACGGGUAGCCGGCCUGAGAGGGCGACCGGCCACACUGGGACUGAGACACGGCCCAGACUCCUACGGGAGGCAGCAGUGGGGAAUAUUGGGCAAUGGAGGAAACUCUGACCCAGCGACGCCGCGUGAGGGAUGAAGGCCUUCGGGUUGUAAACCUCUUUCAGUAGGGAAGAAGCGAAAGUGACGGUACCUACAGAAGAAGCACCGGCUAACUAUGUGCCAGCAGCCGCGGUAAUACAUAGGGUGCAAGCGUUGUCCGGAAUUAUUGGGCGUAAAGAGCUCGUAGGUGGUUCGAUACGUCGGAUGUGAAAAUCAGGGGCUCAACCCCUGACCUGCAUCCGAUACGGUCGAGCUAGAGUUUGGUAGGGGAGACUGGAAUUCCUGGUGUAGCGGUGGAAUGCGCAGAUAUCAGGAGGAACACCGAUGGCGAAGGCAGGUCUCUGGGCCAAUACUGACACUGAGGAGCGAAAGCGUGGGGAGCGAACAGGAUUAGAUACCCUGGUAGUCCACGCCGUAAACGGUGGGCGCUAGUUGUGCGAACCUUCCACGGUUUGUGCGACGCAGCUAACGCAUUAAGCGCCCCGCCUGGGGAGUACGAUCGCAAGAUUAAAACUCAAAGGAAUUGACGGGGCCCCGCACAAGCAGCGGAGCAUGCGGCUUAAUUCGACGCAACGCGAAGAACCUUACCAAGGCUUGACAUAUACAGGAAUAUGGCAGAGAUGUCAUAG